GAUGAACGCUGGCGGCGUGCCUAAUACAUGCAAGUCGAGCGAACAGACGAGGAGCUUGUUCCUCUGACGUUAGCGGUGGACGGGUGAGUAACACGUGGAUAACCUACCUAUAAGACUGGGAUAACUUCGGGAAACCGGAGCUAAUACCGGAUAACAUGUUGAACCGCAUGGUUCAACAGUGAAAGACGGUCUUGCUGUCACUUAUAGAUGGAUCCGCGCCGCAUUAGCUAGUUGGUAAGGUAACGGCUUACCAAGGCAACGAUGCGUAGCCGACCUGAGAGGGUGAUCGGCCACACUGGAACUGAGACACGGUCCAGACUCCUACGGGAGGCAGCAGUAGGGAAUCUUCCGCAAUGGGCGAAAGCCUGACGGAGCAACGCCGCGUGAGUGAGGAAGGUCUUCGGAUCGUAAAACUCUGUUAUUAGGGAAGAACAAAUGUGUAAGUAACUAUGCACGUCUUGACGGUACCUAAUCAGAAAGCCACGGCUAACUACGUG
This 497-nucleotide ribosomal RNA is filed under the name uncultured bacterium. Its description in RNAcentral is "partial 16S ribosomal RNA". It matches the Rfam family "Bacterial small subunit ribosomal RNA", at positions 28 to 507 of the family's 1533-position model. The record is from RNAcentral.